GAUGAACGCUGGCGGCGUGCCUAAUACAUGCAAGUCGAGCGAACGGACGAGAAGCUUGCUUUUCUGAUGUUAGCGGCGGACGGGUGAGUAACACGUGGAUAACCUACCUAUAAGACUGGGAUAACUUCGGGAAACCGGAGCUAAUACCGGAUAAUAUUUUGAACCGCAUGGUUCAAAAGUGAAAGACGGUCUUGCUGUCACUUAUAGAUGGAUCCGCGCUGCAUUAGCUAGUUGGUAAGGUAACGGCUUACCAAGGCAACGAUGCAUAGCCGACCUGAGAGGGUGAUCGGCCACACUGGAACUGAGACACGGUCCAGACUCCUACGGGAGGCAGCAGUAGGGAAUCUUCCGCAAUGGGCGAAAGCCUGACGGAGCAACGCCGCGUGAGUGAUGAAGGUCUUCGGAUCGUAAAACUCUGUUAUUAGGGAAGAACAUAUGUGUAAGUAACUGUGCACAUCUUGACGGUACCUAAUCAGAAAGCCACGGCUAACUACGUGCCAGCAGCCGCGGUAAUACGUAGGUGGCAAGCGUUAUCCGGAAUUAUUGGGCGUAAAGCGCGCGUAGGCGGUUUUUUAGGUCUGAUGUGAAAGCCCACGGCUCAACCGUGGAGGGUCAUUGGAAACUGGAAAACUUGAGUGCAGAAGAGGAAAGUGGAAUUCCAUGUGUAGCGGUGAAAUGCGCAGAGAUGUGGAGGAACACCAGUGGCGAAGGCGACUUUCUGGUCUGUAACUGACGCUGAUGUGCGAAAGCGUGGGGAUCAAACAGGAUUAGAUACCCUGGUAGUCCACGCCGUAAACGAUGAGUGCUAAGUGUUAGGGGGUUUCCGCCCCUUAGUGCUGCAGCUAACGCAUUAAGCACUCCGCCUGGGGAGUACGACCGCAAGGUUGAAACUCAAAGGAAUUGACGGGGGCCCGCACAAGCGGUGGAGCAUGUGGUUUAAUUCGAAGCAACGCGAAGAACCUUACCAAAUCUUGACAUCCUUUGACAACUCUAGAGAUAGAGCCUUCCCCUUCGGGGGACAAAGUGACAGGUGGUGCAUGGUUGUCGUCAGCUCGUGUCGUGAGAUGUUGGGUUAAGUCCCGCAACGAGCGCAACCCUUAAGCUUAGUUGCCAUCAUUAAGUUGGGCACUCUAAGUUGACUGCCGGUGACAAACCGGAGGAAGGUGGGGAUGACGUCAAAUCAUCAUGCCCCUUAUGAUUUGGGCUACACACGUGCUACAAUGGACAAUACAAAGGGCAGCGAAACCGCGAGGUCAAGCAAAUCCCAUAAAGUUGUUCUCAGUUCGGAUUGUAGUCUGCAACUCGACUACAUGAAGCUGGAAUCGCUAGUAAUCGUAGAUCAGCAUGCUACGGUGAAUACGUUCCCGGGUCU
RNAcentral lists this ribosomal RNA (1372 nucleotides) under uncultured bacterium. RNAcentral describes it as "bacterial SSU rRNA". It matches the Rfam family "Bacterial small subunit ribosomal RNA", at positions 28 to 1381 of the family's 1533-position model. The record is from RNAcentral.